Molecule: long non-coding RNA, 248 nt
Filed under: Panax ginseng (ginseng)
Lineage: Eukaryota; Viridiplantae; Streptophyta; Magnoliopsida; Apiales; Araliaceae
Description: long non-coding RNA (PGIN_LNC003775)
Source: RNAcentral
CUAGUCUAACAAGGUUCAACAAUAAUGAUAUUCAAUUUGAAUAAUAAUCUCAAGAAGUAUACAAUAGGACAAUUAUUGUAUAACUGAAUCAUGCUUUGAAAGAUAGUUAAUCUUUAAUAUAACAUUUGAACUUGAAUAAUAGUAAUGAUAAUUUACUCGAGGUAAAUAAUAAAUUUGAACAACAAUGACAAGUAGGGUUAGGAAACUUCCCUCGUGCGUAGGUUACACUUUAACUAAACACGUUCUUU